Molecule: ribosomal RNA, 208 nt
Filed under: uncultured bacterium
Lineage: Bacteria
Description: partial 16S ribosomal RNA
Rfam family: Bacterial small subunit ribosomal RNA
Source: RNAcentral
UGACAGAGGUCCCAAGCGUUACUCGGGAAUUACUGGGCGUAAAGGGUGCGUAAGUGGUCGUUUAAGGUCCGUUGUCGGAAAAUCCCUGGGGCUCCGAACCUGGGAACUGGCAGUCGGUAUACUGGACGGCUAGAAUGCGGAUAGAGGGUAGUGGAAUUCCCGGUGUAGCAGUGAAAUGCGUAGAGAUCGGGAGGAACACCAGUGGCGA